GGAUGUGAGGGCGAUCUGGCUGCGACAUCUGUCACCCCAUUGAUCGCCAGGGUUGAUUCGGCUGAUCUGGCUGGCUAGGCGGGUGUCCCCUUCCUCCCUCACCGCUCCAUGUGCGUCCCUCCCGAAGCUGCGCGCUCGGUCGAAGAGGACGACCAUCCCCGAUAGAGGAGGACCGUUCUUCGGUCAAGGGUAUACGAGUAGCUGCGCUCCCCUGCUAGAACCUCCAAACAAGCUCUCAAGAAUCAUUAAAGUUAUUAUUUAAAUGUUAUCCAAACACUGAACCUGGAUCUUUUGUGUCAUUCUCUUGACACACAACCUGGU
This 321-nucleotide small nuclear RNA is filed under the name Castor canadensis (American beaver). Its description in RNAcentral is "7SK RNA (ENSCCNG00000001365.1)". It matches the Rfam family "7SK RNA". Rfam says of the family: 7SK was discovered as an abundant small nuclear RNA in the mid-70s but a possible function has only recently been suggested. Two independent studies have found that 7SK RNA binds the CDK9/cyclin T complex (known as elongation factor P-TEFb). Lineage: Eukaryota; Metazoa; Chordata; Mammalia; Rodentia; Castoridae. The record is from Rfam by way of RNAcentral.